Molecule: signal recognition particle RNA, 100 nt
Filed under: Candidatus Acetatifactor stercoripullorum
Lineage: Bacteria; Bacillati; Bacillota; Clostridia; Lachnospirales; Lachnospiraceae
Description: signal recognition particle sRNA small type
Rfam family: Bacterial small signal recognition particle RNA
About the family: The signal recognition particle (SRP) is a universally conserved ribonucleoprotein involved in the co-translational targeting of proteins to membranes. Archaeal SRP consists of a 7S RNA and homologues of the eukaryotic SRP19 and SRP54 proteins. In most bacteria, the SRP consists of a 4.5S RNA and the Ffh protein (a homologue of the eukaryotic SRP54 protein).
Source: RNAcentral
AGUUCGGUCUCACGCAAUGGGAAUCUGUGAACCGUGUCAGGUUGGGAACAAAGCAGCACUAAGCAGAACCUUCCAUGUGCCGUGAGGAAGCCGGGCGGAG